GUCUGCUUGAAGAUAUAAACAGUCUAGCCUGCCCACUGAUAAGUAAAAAUUUAAAGGGCCGCGGUAUCUUGACCGUGCAAAGGUAGCAUAAUCAUUAGUUUUUUAAUUGGAAUCUAGUAUGAAUGGUUGGACAAAAGAAAAUCUGUCUUUAUAAUAGUUAUUGAAAUUAACUUUUGAGUGAAAAGGCUUAAAUGAAUUGAAAAGACGAUAAGACCCUAUAAAGCUUGACAUUAAUUUGAUAUUAUAUUGAAUUUUUUUUUAUAAAAAUGUAAUGUUUAUUUUUUGUUUUAUUGGGGCGAUAGAGGUAGAAUGAUUAAUAACUGCUUAAAUUUUAUAACAUUAUAAAUGAAUAAGAGCUUUAAAAGAUCCUAGGAUAAAGAUUUAAAGGUUAAGUUACUUUAGGGAUAACAGCGUUAUUUUUUUUGAGAGUUCUUAUCGAAAAAAAAGUUUGCGACCUCGAUGUUGAAUUAAAAUUUCUUUAUAAUUGUAGCAGUUAUAAAAGAAGGUCUGUU
RNAcentral lists this ribosomal RNA (512 nucleotides) under Metopograpsus messor. RNAcentral's name for it is "partial 16S ribosomal RNA". It matches the Rfam family "Bacterial large subunit ribosomal RNA", at positions 1819 to 2581 of the family's 2925-position model. The record is from RNAcentral. Lineage: Eukaryota; Metazoa; Arthropoda; Malacostraca; Decapoda; Grapsidae.